UACGGAAGGCAGCAGUGGGGAAUAUUGGACAAUGGGCGAAAGCCUGAUCCAGCCAUGCCGCAUGAGUGAAGAAGGCCUUCGGGUUGUAAAGCUCUUUUAGUGAGAAAGAUAAUGACGGUACUCACAGAAGAAGUCCUGGCUAACUCCGUGCCAGCAGCCGCGGUAAUACGGAGAGGGCUAGCGUUAUUCGGAAUUAUUGGGCGUAAAGAGCGCGUAGGCUGAUUAGUAAGUUAAAAGUGAAAUCCCAAAGCUUAACUUUGGAAUUGCUUUUUAAAACUACUAGUCUAGAGAUUGAAAGAGGAUAGAGGAAUUCCUAGUGUAGAGGUGAAAUUCGUAAAUAUUAGGAGGAACACCAGUGGCGAAGGCGUCUAUCUGGUUCAAAUCUGACGCUGAGGCGCGAAGGGCGUGGGGAGCAAACAGGGAUUAGAUACC
Molecule: ribosomal RNA, 432 nt
Filed under: uncultured bacterium
Lineage: Bacteria
Description: bacterial SSU rRNA
Rfam family: Bacterial small subunit ribosomal RNA
Source: RNAcentral